GGGUUGGUAGCUCAGUGGUAGAGCAGCGGCCUUUUAAGCCGUUGGUCGUGGGUUCGAACCCCACCCGACCCACCA
Molecule: transfer RNA, 75 nt
Filed under: Pedosphaera sp.
Lineage: Bacteria; Pseudomonadati; Verrucomicrobiota; Pedosphaerae; Pedosphaerales; Pedosphaeraceae
Also listed under: 1 other name
Description: tRNA-Lys
Rfam family: tRNA
About the family: Transfer RNA (tRNA) molecules are approximately 80 nucleotides in length.
Source: RNAcentral